GUUUUAUUUAAGAAAGGAUCUGUAUCGCUGAAGUUCCUCAGGAAGAACUUAUACCGGAAAUUAACAAACGACCAGAGACGUAACAGUAUUAUUGGCGAGUUUGUAAACAGUGGGACAACGAAAGUAACUAUAUAUUAAUUGAGCUGAACUAAAAAAUAAACCACUGCGACAACUGGCGGUUAGAUAAUGUAUAACUGUUGAGUACGCUGAAGCAACAACGUAUACCUACACGAAAAGAAGUAGAUUCAAAGUAUUUGUUGUUGUGAUGUAUAAAAGUGAUUUGUUUGAGAGGCGACGUUGAAGAUGGAUGUUAGUUAUCAAAUAAUCUUCCUGAGCAAAGUGGCUGAAAUGAAAGAUAAACGAUAAUGGAAGAUUGUAAUUGGAACGGAAGACAAUUUUUUAUCGCCAGAAAAAGACAUUCGUUAUAAAACAACAACAAAAAGCAACGGAUGUAUGACAUCGUGUUCGAAUGUUGGUAUCCUAACUAACGGUCGUUUUUUCACUAGUUGAAGUCACGUGUUGAAUUCCACGAAGAUCAGGAAAAGCUGAAUACAUUGAGUUUCAGUGACACCCACGUGUGGACCCAUAUAAUGAACAAAUUAAGCAGGUUGAUCGUGGUUGGCUGUAUUUUUUUAAUGGGGGUUGUUCUCACCGUUUUAUCGUGUCUCGGGGAACUUGAAGGGUGUAACACGUACUUUCUUCACCGGUGUUGCGAAGGGCUGGCGUGCAGGUCGAAUUUUCCAUAUUCGAAAUACGGUCGCUGUGUUCCAGAGAUUUAUGGUUAGAUUCCUAGAUUGUAGCGACAC
Long non-coding RNA from Limulus polyphemus (Atlantic horseshoe crab), 806 nucleotides. RefSeq lists it as uncharacterized. The record is from RefSeq and is a predicted model, not a curated record. Lineage: Eukaryota; Metazoa; Arthropoda; Merostomata; Xiphosura; Limulidae. The transcript is spliced from 3 exons.